Long non-coding RNA from Tetranychus urticae (two-spotted spider mite), 602 nucleotides. RefSeq lists it as uncharacterized. The record is from RefSeq and is a predicted model, not a curated record. NCBI's taxonomy places the organism in Eukaryota, Metazoa, Arthropoda, Arachnida, Trombidiformes, Tetranychidae.
GCGAAAGAGUGAGAGAGAAGGAGAUGAAAUGGGGGAGAAAAAAAUAAAUAAAUAAUUAGAUUGCCGUUGAUAAUUAAAUUAACUGGGAAACACUGAUGUUAGUCUUCCGAACUUGGGGGAUACAGAUCAAUAUACCCGCCUCCAAAGCAAUCGUCUUACUUUGUUAUCUGUCAUAACAUUACAUUUUCAUACUGGAAAUAGGAUUUUAACUUGUGACCUGAAUACAUUGACUAUGGACUGGUUUUAGCUCUGUGACUUGAUGGCUAUUGACCCUUACAAGCCUGGUCUAAGCGGUACUUUUUUUUAUCAUCUUUAUUCCUAUCAUCCACAUUAACAUCAUUUAUAUCUUCACUCAGAUCCAGUUUCAGUUCAUUUCAAUUCACUUCACUUGAUCACCAAUUUUAAUUUUGGCCUGACUCAUUGUAAAGAACAGCAAAAUUCAAAUGUAGAUUGAAUAAGAAACUGGCUGCACAGAAUGAAAAGAAAGCUUGAAAAUCACAAGAUGGAGAUGAACGUAUGGAUUGAACUUGAAAGUUGAUCAACUUACCCUGCCAAAUCAUAAGAGCAGUUAUGUUUAACACAAAUAUCAUCAUCAUCAUCAU